UACGGAGGGUGCAAGCGUUGUCCGGAUUUAUUGGGUUUAAAGGGUGCGUAGGCGGUCUUUUAAGUCAGUGGUGAAAUCCUCCAGCUCAACUGGAGAACUGCCAUUGAUACUGGAAGACUUGAGUAUAGUUGAGGUAGGCGGAAUUGACAGUGUAGCGGUGAAAUGCAUAGAUAUUGUCAAGAACACCGAUUGCGAAGGCAGCUUACUAAACUGUAACUGACGCUGAGGCACGAAAGUGCGGGGAUCAAACAGG
RNAcentral lists this ribosomal RNA (253 nucleotides) under uncultured bacterium. RNAcentral's name for it is "partial 16S ribosomal RNA". It matches the Rfam family "Bacterial small subunit ribosomal RNA", at positions 524 to 776 of the family's 1533-position model. The record is from RNAcentral.